GUGUUGAAACAAUCUCUGUUG
RNAcentral lists this microRNA (21 nucleotides) under Bos taurus (domestic cattle). RNAcentral describes it as "bta-miR-653". Its record names the gene bta-miR-653. The record is from miRBase by way of RNAcentral. Lineage: Eukaryota; Metazoa; Chordata; Mammalia; Artiodactyla; Bovidae.